AAUCCGUCGACUUUUAAAAUCGUGAGGGUUC
RNAcentral lists this transfer RNA (31 nucleotides) under Atocion armeria (garden campion). RNAcentral's name for it is "partial tRNA-Leu". Lineage: Eukaryota; Viridiplantae; Streptophyta; Magnoliopsida; Caryophyllales; Caryophyllaceae. The record is from RNAcentral.